This is a long non-coding RNA of Brienomyrus brachyistius, 1233 nucleotides long. RefSeq lists it as uncharacterized. NCBI's taxonomy places the organism in Eukaryota, Metazoa, Chordata, Actinopteri, Osteoglossiformes, Mormyridae. The transcript has 3 exons. The record is from RefSeq and is a predicted model, not a curated record.
UAACGUUUCUUGGUUUUCUGUUUCCUAGUGUUACUAUUUAUCUUUGUGUCCCUGUUUUAGGUUAUCCUGCUCGUGCCUUGUUGUUGCAUGCACUCCUGUUCCUAAUCUUUUUUUGCACUGUUACCUUUAGUGUUUGUUACUGUUUCCCAGUUCUAGUGCUUGUUAAUUGUAAUCCACCCCACCUGUUCCUUGUUGACUCAAGUCCUUUUGAGUGGUUAAUUUAAUAAUGAUUUACACCUGUCCCUUGUUUGCCCUAACUCUCUGUGUAUUUAAGUGAGUGCCUUUACUCUGUUAGUUAUUGUGUUACUCUGUGUUUGUUACUCUGUUCCAUUGCAUAGUCCUGCUCUCUAUGUUACUCUGUUCCCUUGCUGUGUUACCUUAUUGUUCUUGAAGUUGCCACGUUGGUGGGGAGAAGCAUAACCCAGCAGCUGAUGUGGCUAUACCCCUAAACAAGGCAUUUAUUUAGCAGAGGUGGGCCGUGCACGGGCAGGGGCUGAGAUGCAGCAGACCUCACCUCCCAGAAUCCUGCUGCACCCCUCCCCCCCCUGCAGGGAGCCCUGGAAACACCAGUGAAGGCCAUGGGGAGGAAAUGCUGGCUCAGACUCGGGCUCCCAGGCAGGAGCGGGCAGGCAGUUACCCUCAAUUGGCUGAUGAGGUGAACAACAACUGACAAGCCCAGGAAAAUUUAGGACAUGCUGUUUACUCAUCUGGACAAUUUAAACUUUGCUGAUGACCACAAAUAUCACAAUAAAAAAAUAAGACAAGCCUGUUGGACAGCUUGAUAAUUAGUCAUUUAACUGGGUGAAUAACCCAAAUAAUGUGUAUAAAUACCAUUGACCUGGCUGAACAAAAAGGAUCAAGUGCAUCUACAACCCCUGGCAAAAAAUAUGGAAUCACUACUCUUGCAGGAUGUUCAGUCAGUUGUUUUACUUUAUAGUUCAAAAAACAAAUCAGAUAUGACACAAAACCAUUUUACCUAACAACUGAAUGUUCUGGAUUUGUAAAAUGUACCUCCAAAAAAUAAAAUGACAUUGUUGCAAUUAAUGGCACAUCUUUUUUCAGAUCAAGUAGAGGAAAAAAUAUCGAAUGGAGCAAAAAAAAGUUUGUACUAGUACUUUGUUGCACCUCCUCUGGCUUUUAUGAUAGUUUGAAUUCUUUGAGGCAUGGACUUCACUAAUGAAAAACAAUAUUCUGCAUAAAUCAGGUUCCAACAUUCUCAUAUACAGUAGCAGU